AAAAAAGCUAUUAAGGGUGUAUGGUGGAUAUCUUGGUAGUAAGAGGCGAUGAAGGACGUGUGUUAAGUCACGAUAACCUCAGAGAGGAGCUAAGCAUCCUUUGACCUGGGGGUUUCCGAAUGGGGCAACCCUCUCAGUGGCAACACUGAGAACUUUAUGGUGAGUCAAGUAGUCAUAAAGGGCGAACGCAGGGAAUUGAAACAUCUAAGUACCUGUAGGAAGAGUAAUCAAUUGAGAUUCCGUCAGUAGCGGCGAGCGAAAUCGGAACAUGCCCAAACCGUUAAUAGUGAUAUUAACGGGGUUGUAGGACUUACAUAACGAAAAUUUUCCGUAAAAGAAGUGUCUGGGAAGUCACACCAUAGAAGGUGAAAGUCCUGUAUUAUAAACGGAAAGUGAUCUGGUGAGUAUCCUGAGUAGGACGGGACACGUGGAAUCUUGUCUGAAUCUGGGGGGACCACCCUCCAAGGCAAAAUACUACUUACUGACCGAUAGUGAACGAGUACCGUGAGGGAAAGAUGAAAAGAACCCCGAUGAGGGGAGUGAAAUAGAACUUGAAACCAUAUACUUACAAUCGGUGAGAGGGCUAUUGUAAAGCCUGAUCACGUACCUUUUGCAUUAUGAUUCAGUGAGUUACGAUGUGUAGCAAGGUUAAGCCGUUGCAGGUGUAGCCGUAGGGAAACCGAGUCUUAAUAGGGCGUUUAGUUUCAUGUCGUAGACCCGAAACGGGAUGAGCUAUCCAUGGGCAGGUUGAAGCGUAGGUAAAACUACGUGGAGGACCGAACCCUUGAAUGUUGAAAAAUUCUGGGAUGACCUGUGGAUAGGGGUGAAAGGCCAAUCAAAUUCCGUGAUAGCUGGUUCUCUCCGAAAUGCAUUUAGGUGCAGCGUCAAGUAUAACUGCAGGGGGUAUAGCACUGAAUUGGCUAGGGGGCUUACCGGCUUACCAAACCAUAUCAAACUCAGAAUACCUGUAAGUUUUAGCUUGGCAGUGAGACUAUGGAUGCUAAGGUCCAUAGUCAAAAGGGAAAGAGCCCAGACCAUCAGCUAAGGUCCCCAAAUAAUCGCUAAGUGGGAAAGGAUGUGGGAUUACUGUGACAUCCAGGAGGUUGGCUUAGAAGCAGCCAUCCUUUAAAGAAAGCGUAAUAGCUCACUGGACUAGUGAUCCUGCGCCGAAAAUGUAACGGGGCUAAGUGAUUUACCGAAGCUAUGGAUUUAUUCUUUUGAAUAAGUGGUAGGAGAGCAUUGUGUAUGUCGACGAAGGUAUACCGGCAAGGAGUACUGGAGAUAUCACAAGAGCUGAUGCUGAAAUGAGUAGCGAUAAGAAAGGUGAGAAUCCUUUCCACCGAAAAUCUAAGGGUUCCUGGGCCAGGUGACUCCGCCCAGGGUGAGUCGGAUCCUAACGCGAGGCCGAAAGGCGUAGUGGAUGGACAACAGGUUAAUAUUCCUGUACUUGAAUAAAAUCGUUCGACCAAUGGAGUGACGCAGAAAGAUAAUGGAUCCAUCUGUUGGAUAUGGUGGUUUAAGCGUGUAGGUGGGAGACUUUGGUAAAUCCGGGUUUCUAUUAACACUGAGGCGUGAAUACGAGGCGCAAGCCGAAGUCCAUGAUUCUCCGCUGCCUAGAAAAGCUUCUAGGGAGAUUUUAUGCAAUCCGUACCGUAAACCGACACAGGUAGAUGGGAUGAGUAAUCUCAGGUGAUUGGGAGAACUCCAGUUAAGGAACUCUGCAAGUUGGUACCGUAACUUCGGAAGAAGGUACACCCUCAGAUGUGACGUCCCUUGCGGGCUGAGCAUCAGUGGGUCGCAGAUAGCAGGGGGUAGCGACUGUUUAUCAAAAACAUAGGUCUCUGCAAACUCGAAAGAGGAAGUAUAGGGACUGACGCCUGCCCGGUGCUGGAAGGUUAAAAGGAGAGGUUAUUUCUUCGGAAAGAAGCUUUGAAUUGAAGCCCCAGUAAACGGCGGCCGUAACUAUAACGGUCCUAAGGUAGCGAAAUUCCUAGUCGGGUAAGUUCCGACCUGCACGAAUGGCGUAACGACUUCCCCACUGUCUCAACUGGAGGCCCAGCGAAAUUGGAGUGCGCGUGAAGAUACGCGCUACCCGCGGAAGGACGAAAAGACCCCGUGAACCUUUACUGCAACUUGGCAUUGGUUUUUGAACAAGAAUGCGUAGGAUAGGUGGGAGCUUUUGAUCCAUGCUUUUCGGAGUAUGGGGAGGCAACCUUGAAAUACCACCCUUUGUUGUUUGGAAUCCUAACCUAUGAUCAUGAAACUGGUCAGGGGACAAUGUCUGGUGGGCGGUUUGACUGGGGCGGUCGCCUCCUAAAGAGUAACGGAGGCGCACGAAGGUUCCCUCAAGCCGAUUGGAAACCGGCUGUAGAGUGUAUACGCAUAAGGGAGCUUGACUGCGAGACAGACAAGUCGAGCAGGUGCGAAAGCAGGUGUAAGUGAUCCGGUGGUCCCGAGUGGAAGGGCCAUCGCUCAACGGAUAAAAGGUACUCCGGGGAUAACAGGCUGAUCUCCUCCAAGAGUUCACAUCGACGAGGAGGUUUGGCACCUCGAUGUCGGCUCAUCGCAUCCUGGGGCGGUAGCACGUCCCAAGGGUUUGACUGUUCGUCAAUUAAAGCGGUACGCGAGCUGGGUUCAGAACGUCGUGAGACAGUUCGGUCUCUAUCCUCCGUGGGCGCAAGUCAUUUGAGGAAAUCUGUCCUUAGUACGAGAGGACCGGGAUGGACGAUCCUAUGGUGUAUCGGUUGUCACGCCAGUGGCACUGCCGAGUAGCUAAGAUCGGAAGGGAUAACCGCUGAAAGCAUCUAAGUGGGAAGCCCAUUCCAAGAUAAGAUGACUAUUAAGGCCGCUUGUAGACUACAAGCUUGAUAGGUCGGAUGUGUAAGCGCAGUAAUGUGUUGAGCUGACCGAUACUAAAUGGCCGUUUUGCUUUUUUUU
Molecule: ribosomal RNA, 2937 nt
Filed under: Bacteriovoracaceae bacterium
Lineage: Bacteria; Pseudomonadati; Bdellovibrionota; Bacteriovoracia; Bacteriovoracales; Bacteriovoracaceae
Description: 23S ribosomal RNA
Rfam family: Bacterial large subunit ribosomal RNA
Source: RNAcentral